Dalotia coriaria is the source of this 2135-nucleotide long non-coding RNA. RefSeq lists it as uncharacterized. The record is from RefSeq and is a predicted model, not a curated record. The transcript has 3 exons. Lineage: Eukaryota; Metazoa; Arthropoda; Insecta; Coleoptera; Staphylinidae.
GCGUGGUGCACUCAGCGCAGUUUUGUGCCGGUCGUUGGUUGUGUUGUACGUGUUUCUCGAGGCGGUUAUCAUAUCAUUUUGAGUUUGUAAUUUGGUAAAUCGCGUAUAUAUCGGUUGUUCAUCGACUGCAUUUAGUUAUUAUUGACUUGUAUAGCGUUUUAUUAGUAGAUAAUCGGGUGUCGCAUAUGCAAAAUGUUUAAUUUUCUUUGCGUUCGUUGUGCGUAUUGCAAGAAUGACUGCGUGCUAUUAACUUGUUUACACCGCGCGCUCGCGAGUUAUAGGUAGCAUGAAUCUGCAACGUCUUACAACGUUUAUUGUGAUAUUAUUUGGACAGUGGAUUGAAACAUGGACAAUAUUCUGCGUCGAAACGGCGAAAGAACGUUCUUGGUGAAUUCAGCGACAAAUAUUUUCCCGAGGAUCAUCUUUUUGCUACCAGGACUUGCGUCCGUAUUGUCCAUGAUCCAGAAACCUUCACGCACCGCGGGAAAGAAUGAAUUUGGAUCGUAAAACACCCACUGAUGCAUACUGUGGUGGUAAAUACACUCGAGAAUCGUCUGCCAUUCGAUGUGAUCGGAUAUUAUUGGGUUUGUUACGAUUUCAACCAAAGGGACACCUACCAGCCUGGUGGAGGGCAGCUGCGUUUCCACGGGAUGCGCUACCUCUAUAAUUUGUCGCUUAUCUUGCAAUCACUUCGCCCACACAUUAUUUUUCAAACCAGUACAAUUAAUGCACACAAGGAAGGGCACAAAACAACGUCCCGAUUUUUAAACCACGAACGCAUUCUUCACUUAUAAUUAGAAUUGUAUAUAUUUAGGUACCUUUGACAUUAACGUUGAUGAAUGCAUGUGGAAUAACAUGCAUUGUAAACUCUUUUUAACGAUACUGCCUAAGAUCUAAGAAGAGUUGAUUUAAUGGCGGAUUUUACUCAUUCAGCCGUUUGCCACAAAACGUGUACAUAUUUCAAUGUCAUUAUAAAAAAGGUAUUCAAGAGUUUACAUUGCAUUUCACUGUUAAUCGCUUCACUAGGUUUAAUGUAUUGUAUUAUUGCUUGUCGGGCUAAUGUGACAAGUUUGCAUUUUAUUUGUUGGUAUUGUAAAUAAGUUUGGUAGUUGCUGCACCGUUGUUAUCUAGCUUCGACUCGCGUACGGGGCGUCUCUAGAGUUGUCAAAUUAAACUCUCUGUGGGGUUUUAUUAGUUUGUUGCAGGAAUUCGACCUGCAACCCGCGAAAAUUUGCAUAAAGAGUAAUUUUUCACGCUUCUCCGUGAAAUGUUUGUAUUUUUUCGGGUUUUCACGCCAUCUAAGUGACUCAGUAACUUUACGGCGGCGAAGAAAGAUGCGGAAUUAAAUUCUCCGUCGGGAUGUAUUUGUUAGCGGUAGAAGUGACUCGAUUCAGCGCACCUUACGAGAGUAGCGGUAGAAGUGACUCGUGUUCAGGGCACCGUAUGAACCCGCCAGUUUGCAUAAAAGGGUAUUUUUUUCACUCCUUUUCGUGAAAUUUUUGUAUUUUUUGAUGGCUCACUACCUUAAGCGCGGCGUCUAGUGAUGCGGAAUUAAAUUCUCCGUCGGGUGAUAUAUGUUUGUUGCAGGAAUUCGCUCUGCAAUCCACGAAAAUUGGCAUUAAAAUUGAUUAUUUCACUCUUUUUUUCUGUAAAUUGCAAUUGUUAGCACUUUUAGUCGCGUUUUUCUAUCAUUUACCUCAUUAAAUUAAAUUAUUUAAGAUAUCCAUCUGAUAGAGAAUUUUUCAAUCUUCCAUAAUCUGCAAUUUGUUGGUUACUACCUCUUUUAGUUUGGAAGAUGUUCGCUAUUGAAAAUAAUCGAUAAAAAUUAUCAAGGGGGGGGUCUUGACAAUUUUUUUAAUGGGAAUUCAAAUUUUGUCUCUUAAAUUGCUAAUUUAACCAGCUUAUUUUAUAGAGAAUUGCCGGUAGAUUAAGACGCUGCGAUUCGAUCCUAAUUAGGUUUUUUUUAGUUACGUGACUAAGGAAUACAUGCCGACGGACCGCAGAUUGUUACUUUCUUGAUAAUAUUUGUGCGUUACGUUAAAAUGAAAUAUCUUGCAUUCUCAAAUACUGUGUGCCUUAAAAUUCCUGAUUAUCACGUUAUCAAUUAUUAUUUAUUAAAUUCGAAUUAAUUUUUG